AGGAGUUUGAUCAUGGCUCAGAUUGAACGCUGGCGGCAGGCCUAACACAUGCAAGUCGAACGGUAACAGGAAGCAGCUUGCUGCUUUGCUGACGAGUGGCGGACGGGUGAGUAAUGUCUGGGAAACUGCCCGAUGGAGGGGGAUAACUACUGGAAACGGUAGCUAAUACCGCAUAAUGUCGCAAGACCAAAGCGGGGGACCUCCGGGCCUCGCGCCAUCAGAUGAACCCAUAUGGGAUUAGCUUGUAGGUAAGGUAACGGCUUACCUAGGCGACGAUCCCUAGCUGGUCUGAGAGGAUGACCAGCCACACUGGAACUGAGACACGGUCCAGACUCCUACGGGAGGCAGCAGUGGGGAAUAUUGCACAAUGGGCGCAAGCCUGAUGCAGCCAUGCCGCGUGUAUGAAGAAGGCCUUCGGGUUGUAAAGUACUUUCAGCGAGGAGGAAGGCGUUGUGGUUAAUAACCGCAGCGAUUGACGUUACUCGCAGAAGAAGCACCGGCUAACUCCGUGCCAGCCGCCGCGGUAAUAC
This 530-nucleotide ribosomal RNA is filed under the name uncultured bacterium. RNAcentral's name for it is "bacterial SSU rRNA". It matches the Rfam family "Bacterial small subunit ribosomal RNA", at positions 1 to 526 of the family's 1533-position model. The record is from RNAcentral.